GUCUGCGGCCAUACCACCCUGAAUGCACCUCAUCUCGUCUGAUCUCGGAAGCUCAGCAGGGUUGGGCCUGGUUAGUACUUGGAGGGGAGACCAAUAGACAGAAGCAGAGAAAAAGAGACC
RNAcentral lists this ribosomal RNA (120 nucleotides) under Heterocephalus glaber (naked mole-rat). Lineage: Eukaryota; Metazoa; Chordata; Mammalia; Rodentia; Bathyergidae. The record is from RNAcentral.